This 203-nucleotide ribosomal RNA is filed under the name uncultured bacterium. Its description in RNAcentral is "partial 16S ribosomal RNA". It matches the Rfam family "Bacterial small subunit ribosomal RNA", at positions 1288 to 1500 of the family's 1533-position model. The record is from RNAcentral.
UCAUUCGGAUCGGAGUCUGCAACCCGACUCCGUGAAGCUGGAUUCGCUGUAAUCGCGCAUCAGCCAUGGCGCGGUGAAUACGUUCCCGGGCCUUGUACACACCGCCCGUCAAGCCAUGGGAGCCGGGGGUGCUUGAAGUGCGUCGCCGCAAGGCGCGCCCUAGAGCAAAACCGGUGACUGGGGCUAAGUCGUAACAAGGUACC